GCAUGGCUGUCGUCAGCUCGUGUUGUGAAAUGUUGGGUUAAGUCCCGCAACGAGCGCAACCCUUAUCCUUUGUUGCCAGCGNUUAGGCCGGGAACUCAAAGGAGACUGCCAAUGAUAAACUGGAGGAAGGUGGGGAUGACGUCAAGUCAUCAUGGCCCUUACGAGUAGGGCUACACACGUGCUACAAUGGCGCAUACAAAGAGAAGCGACCUCGCGAGAGCAAGCGGACCUCAUAAAGUGCGUCGUAGUCCGGAUUGGAGUCUGCAACUCGACUCCAUGAAGUCGGAAUCGCUAGUAAUCGUAGAUCAGAAUGCUACGGUGAAUACGUUCCCGGGCCUUGUACACACCGCCCGUCACACCAUGGGAGUGGGUUGCAAAAGAAGUAGGUAGC
This 391-nucleotide ribosomal RNA is filed under the name Enterobacter mori. RNAcentral describes it as "bacterial SSU rRNA". It matches the Rfam family "Bacterial small subunit ribosomal RNA", at positions 1043 to 1434 of the family's 1533-position model. The record is from RNAcentral. Lineage: Bacteria; Pseudomonadati; Pseudomonadota; Gammaproteobacteria; Enterobacterales; Enterobacteriaceae.